Molecule: non-coding RNA, 137 nt
Organism: Clostridium grantii DSM 8605
Lineage: Bacteria; Bacillati; Bacillota; Clostridia; Eubacteriales; Clostridiaceae
Source: Rfam
UAGCUGGCGAAAGUCCAGUAAAGGUAAUCGUCAAGGAGCCUUUUAGCUAUCCACUAUGCAUAUAAGAGAUUAUAUGUUUAAAGUGUGGUGACAAAGUGUUCGGAAGAAUGCGAGCAAAAGUAUAGGUUGUAAUAUAA